RNAcentral lists this ribosomal RNA (465 nucleotides) under uncultured bacterium. Its description in RNAcentral is "partial 16S ribosomal RNA". It matches the Rfam family "Bacterial small subunit ribosomal RNA", at positions 28 to 507 of the family's 1533-position model. The record is from RNAcentral.
GACGAACGCUGGCGGCGUGCUUAACACAUGCAAGUCGAACGGAAAGGCCCCUUUGGGGGUACUCGAGUGGCGAACGGGUGCGUAACACGUGCGUAACCUGCCCUUGACUUCGGGAUAACUUCAGGAAACUGGGGCUAAUACCGGAUAGGAAUCCUUGCUGCAUGGUGGGGGUUGGAAAGCUUCGGCGGUUUUGGAUGGACUCGCGGCAUAUCAGCUUGUUGGUGGGGUAGUGGCUUACCAAGGCUUUGACGGGUAGCCGGCCUGAGAGGGCGACCGGCCACAUUGGGACUGAGAUGCGGCACAGACUCCUACGGGAGGCAGCAGGGGGGAAGAUUGCACAAUGGGCGGAAGCCUGAUGCAGAAACGCCGCGUGCGGGAUGACGGCCUUCGGGUUGUAAACCGCUUUCAGCAGGGGCGAAGCUUGUGGUGACGGUACCUGAAGAAGAAGCACCGGCUAACUACGUG